RNAcentral lists this long non-coding RNA (2050 nucleotides) under Malus domestica (apple). RNAcentral's name for it is "long non-coding RNA (MDOM_LNC017306)". Lineage: Eukaryota; Viridiplantae; Streptophyta; Magnoliopsida; Rosales; Rosaceae. The record is from RNAcentral.
CCACACUUCGGUACUUAGAAGUUUCGUGAUUACUCAAUGGCUUGGAUCUUGCAAGUCCCCAAUCGAGGAGCUUCCCUCACUUAGGAACUUAAGGGAGCAUUGUUUGUACCAUACUUGACCAAUCCCGAAACUACUGAGCAUCGGUCAAUGUUAUAUCAUCAAGGACCCAGAAGAGUUUCCCUCCAACCAGGAGGCCAAUCACAGCGUGACACGUGUCGACAUCAGAAGCCAAUCAUAGUGCGACAUGUGUCAACAUCAGAAGCCAAUCACAACACGACACGUGUCAAUGUCAAAAUGAAACUAGAAACUCUCUUCUAUAAAUAGAGAUCAUUCUCUCACAAUAUUUCCGAAUCUCAUUUGUACUAAAUCAUUCACUAGUACUCACUAAAGGAGAGCUUGAACCUAUGUACUUAUGUAAACCCUUCACAAUUAAUGAGAACUCCUCUACUCCGUGGACGUAGCCAAUCUGGGUGAACCAUGUACAUCUUGUGUUUGCUUCCCUGUCCCUAUCCAUUUACAUACUUAUCCACACUAGUGAUCGGAGCAAUCUAGCGAAGGUCACAAACUUAACACUUUCUGUUGUACCAAAGUCCUUACUGAUUUUAUGCAUCAACACACUACAACAACUAGCAUAUUAUCUUGUAAUUCUUAAAUGGUUAUGCUAAAUGUUUAGGUUUUUGUUGUGAUAAGUUUUUAUCACUACUCAUGAUUUAUAAUCUGACAACAUAACCUUUAAUAACAUAUAACUCUAGUGUGCUAACAUUCUUCUAUGGAAAUGGUUAUACAAAGUUCUAUUCUUGUGAUAACAUGGUGCCCAAGAAAUCAUGGUCACUCACCUUCAAAUUUGAAAUGAAGGGUUGUAGCUAAAACACUAAAAACACAUCCAAUACUCAACUAAUCUUGAUAUCAAAUUUAAAAGUAAAUGAUCAUACAUUAUUUGGUCACCUGAUGGCAAAGAGUUUAUUUGUGGUUAUAUAUAUAUAAAGCAAAAGCUUGAAUAUAUGUAAAAGUCUUAACCCGACAUGAUUUAGUCCUGGUUUGGUACCGAGGUGAUUCUGAAAAAAGUGGCUAUAAAAAAAAGCUAUGAGCUUUCUUAUGUUUGGUAAACAUUCAGCUUCAGUUUUUUUUCACAGUUUUGGAUGAAAAAAAGCCAAAAACACAAAGCUGCAAAACCCAGCUUUGAAAAACCAGUUUUUUUUCACAUCUUUUUUACAUAAAAGUUUAUCAAACACUAUAAAAGUGCUAUUUUUUUUCAAAAGCACUUUUACAAAAAAAUUUACCAAACACUCUGCUGCUUUAUUUCAUAGCUGUUUAUUCUCACAGCACAGCAGAAACAAUUUUUUUUCAAAGCACAGCAAUACUAAACCAACCCUUACUGCCAUGGAUCAUUAAUCAUGGAUGAAAGACUAGAUCAUAUAUAAAUCCACCCACACGCCAUGGAUCAUUAAUCAAUGUAGUUAAGAGUAUACAGUAUACACUCUUCCAUGUGAGGUAUUUGCUUGCUUUCCCCUUCUCCCAAUGAAACUUAGUAGACAUUUAAGGAUAUGAAAGAUGAAUUAUAACCCAGGAAAAGCAUAAACUGAUGAUUCAUUUUGACAUCUAUUUUUCUUCGGCGCCCCCCGGAGGUACCUUUUCAUGCCGUUUGAUUUGAUCCUGCGGUUGAGUUUGAAUGACUUGAUCACUUGCCAUAGACUAUUAUAUGCAGGGAACUUUAAUGAAAAACUCGUAGUGCUAUUUACUUUAACGAAAAAUCAUAUUUUUACAUUAAAAAAUCAAUUAUGCUACUAUUCACUUUACCUUUUAUUUUAUCAUUAUCGUUAAAAUUCAAAAAUUUUAAAUCAUUUCCAUUAAUUUUCCUUUUUAUAUAUUGCUAAGGGGUUUAGUUUAGUGUAAGUUGUCUGUUUUUGUGUACAAAUAUACAUGGCUAUGACUAUGAGUUGGGUGUUCUUGAAUAAAACAAAUCAAAACACCCGACUUCUGAACAGUAAGUUUUAUAAAAAUAAUUAAAAUAAAAACAAAAAAAGAUUAAAAAAAUCUUAAAACAGACUCC